AGUAGAAUGGCUGAGUGAUAGGUAAUAGAUUGUAAAUCUAUAAAGGGGAUGAAUAAAAUCUCUUCUACUA
RNAcentral lists this transfer RNA (70 nucleotides) under Eupolyphaga hanae. RNAcentral describes it as "tRNA-Tyr". It matches the Rfam family "tRNA". Rfam says of the family: Transfer RNA (tRNA) molecules are approximately 80 nucleotides in length. Their secondary structure includes four short double-helical elements and three loops (D, anti-codon, and T loops). Further hydrogen bonds mediate the characteristic L-shaped molecular structure. tRNAs have two regions of fundamental functional importance: the anti-codon, which is responsible for specific mRNA codon recognition, and the 3' end, to which the tRNAs corresponding amino acid is attached (by aminoacyl-tRNA synthetases). tRNAs cope with the degeneracy of the genetic code in two manners: having more than one tRNA (with a specific anti-codon) for a particular amino acid; and 'wobble' base-pairing, i.e. permitting non-standard base-pairing at the 3rd anti-codon position. Lineage: Eukaryota; Metazoa; Arthropoda; Insecta; Blattodea; Corydiidae. The record is from RNAcentral.